This 527-nucleotide transfer RNA is filed under the name uncultured Prochlorococcus sp. Its description in RNAcentral is "partial 16S-23S ribosomal RNA intergenic spacer". The stretch from base 209 to 281 matches the Rfam family "tRNA". Lineage: Bacteria; Bacillati; Cyanobacteriota; Cyanophyceae; Synechococcales; Prochlorococcaceae. The record is from RNAcentral.
CAGGGAGACAACAAAAUGUUUAAUAUUAUUUUGUCACCUUAGGUCGAUCGGUAUCUCACGUUCUUAAUUUAUUAAGAAUUUCAUUUUCUAAGUUUUUCUAGGUCACACCCAUUAUUUUUCCUGGGCCAUUAGCUCAGGUGGUUAGAGCGCACCCCUGAUAAGGGUGAGGUCCCUGGUUCAAGUCCAGGAUGGCCCAUAUCUCUAUGUUGGGGGUAUAGCUCAGUUGGUAGAGCGCCUGCUUUGCAAGCAGGAUGUCAGCGGUUCGAGUCCGCUUACCUCCACUGAUUACCACCUCUUCCAUAAUUGGUAGAAAGGAAAUGUUUUGACUUGUGAUCAAAUUCUGAACGACUCUAGCUUCCUAAUUAAGACAUUAAGAUGCUGGACUCAUUGAAUUAAUUUCAUUGUUUUCAGAGAACCUUGACAACUGCAUAGAUUUUUUUUUUUAAAGACAAUAAGCAUCUUUAAAGAUGCAGAUUUAUUAUUUGUGCGAAUGCAUUAAUAACAAUUCUAUUAAGCUGAUGCUUCAA